CGCAGGGCCCUGCGCCGCGUGGCCGCCUGCCAGGCAGACCGGCACUCGCUCAUGGCCAAGUACAUCAUGGACCUGGAGCGGCUGGAUCCAGCCGGGGCCGCCGAGACCUUCCACGUGGGCCUCCCUGGGGCCCUUGGUGGCCAGGACGGGCUGGGGCUGCUCCGCGUGGCUGGUGACAGCGGCAUCUCCUGGACCCAGGGAGAACAGGAGGUCCUCCAGCCCUUCUGCGACUUUCCAGAAAUCGUAGACAUUAGCAUCAAGCAGGCCCCGCGCGUUGGCCCGGCCGGGGAGCACCGCCUGGUCACUCUUACCAGGACAGACAACCAGAUUUUGGAGGCCGAGUUCCCAGGGCUGCCCGAGGCUCUGUCGUUCGUGGCGCUCGUGGACGGCUACUUCCGGCUGACCACGGACUCCCAGCACUUCUUCUGCAAGGAGGUGGCACCGCCGAGGCUGCUGGAGGAAGUGGCCGAGCAGUGCCACGGCCCCAUCACUCUGGACUUUGCCAUCAACAAGCUUAAGACUGGGGGCUCACAUCCUGGCUCCUAUGUUCUCCGCCGCAGCCCCCAGGACUUUGACAGCUUCCUCCUCACUGUCUGUGUCCAGACCCCCCUUGGUCCUGAUUAUAAGGGCUGCCUCAUCCGGCGCAGCCCCACAGGAACCUUCCUUCUGGUUGGCCUCAGCCGACCCCACAGCAGUCUUCGAGAGCUCCUGGCAACGUGCUGGGAUGGGGGGCUGCACGUAGAUGGGGUGGCAGUGACCCUCACCUCCUGCUGUAUCCCCAGACCCAAAGGUGAGCCCCUUCCUCCCCUGAAAUGAGUGGCUGAUCUGGGACCCUGGCUUUCU
This 843-nucleotide small RNA is filed under the name Pongo abelii (Sumatran orangutan). RNAcentral's name for it is "retained intron". Lineage: Eukaryota; Metazoa; Chordata; Mammalia; Primates; Hominidae. The record is from RNAcentral.